This is a long non-coding RNA of Planococcus citri (citrus mealybug), 1016 nucleotides long. RefSeq lists it as uncharacterized. The transcript is spliced from 3 exons. Lineage: Eukaryota; Metazoa; Arthropoda; Insecta; Hemiptera; Pseudococcidae. The record is from RefSeq and is a predicted model, not a curated record.
ACUUCUGAGGAUGGAUUCCCUAUUCAAGCUGAUUUUGGUUAUUCUACUCGUAUUUCAUGUUCAACCAAAAUGUGAUGGCAGUUCCAAUACCCUGGAAGAAUAUUCUUUGAUGAACAUUAAGGAUUGAAUUGAUUCGUCAAUUUCAAGUGGACAAUAUCAACGUUUGAAAAAGGAAAGAAGACUCAAAGAUUAUAUCAAAUUUAUACGAAAGCAACUCAAAAAAUCAAAAUGGAAAACAAUGGAAAAACAACGCAUAUAUGACAUCGCAGCAUUCAUCUGUUUAUGCGGCCUCAUUCAGGAAUUCAUUCAUGAAGUGUAUGAAGAGGCUCAGAUUUUCCUACACCCCAACACUUACAAAUGCCCGAUAACUUGGAGAAAAUACAUCGCGCAAUCUAACCAUUCGGUUUGUGUAAAAUUAAGGGGCUCCAAUGAUGAACCUGGAUUGCUGUUGUCAUCAAAAUACAACCACAAUUUUGGACGAGCUCUUUGUUCAGCAUACAAGGUGGGUUUCAGACAUAUAAACUGCGACCCAACCACAGUAGAAGUGCUCUCAAAGUUGAAACGAGAAACAUCGAAGACCAUAGUUGAAAUACUUAAAGUAGAAGAUCGAUUGAACCUAUUAAUUUCCGAAGAAAUAGAUUACAUUAACAUGUUUAUGACUGCUUUGGGAAGAACCCCCUUCCCUUAUCUAAUCUAUUCUUACCAUGGUCUGGAAUUCGCUGUUCCUAAACUGCCAGAUAAUUCAGAUAUAAAGUUAUGCUCUGGUUAUCUUCCUGAAUCACUUGUUCAAAGUUUGACGUGAUCAUUACUCGAAAUUGAAGGGUACAGGAAUGUCACUGACCUACCCAGCUCUAUUUUUUCCUGAAAAUCUCAACGUUUGUCUUAAAAUCUUUGUUUUUUAAAAUUAAAAGAUCGAGUUUUUGCUUAAAAAGUUGUGUUUUUGUUACCAUUGCAAAAAAUUUUCGUUUUCUGGCCAAAUUUUACCAUAAAAAAUUUUAAAAUUUUGAUAAAAAUCA